UUUUUUUUGUUUUUUUGUUUUUUAAUGUUUGUGCCGUUAACACGUUGAAUUAAUUCCUCAGUUUGCCUUGAUAUAAAACAGAUUUAGGGUUUGGGUGUUGAGGGUUUAACUGGAGAGAAGUUAUGAGAAGAGGAAAUGACAGUAGAACAAGAGAGACUAUCAGGGGGUAGAUGGGAUUAAAUUCAGGUCCUGCAAAUAAAAACUCACAUAUCUUCUAGACUACCUGAACCAGCAUCCCAUGCAUCCAAUCCAGUUCAAUGUCCUCCUUGGGAAGAGGUUCCCAUCUACCACCCCUUAUUGUGAAAGGUGGAUGUAUCUAUUCUCUGAACAUGUAUUAGGGAUUCAGGACUCAAAAUGGGCCUGUUCAGAAGCCUCAAUACCUGUCCAGAAAAUGCUACCUUCUUAUAAGAUGCAAAGCCAUUUUCAAUCAGAGCAAAAAUAAUGUGCAGCUCAAAUCUUGUUUUCAUAUAUGAUUAUGAAUCAUUUAUCCUGGCUUGAGCCCUGCUGAGCAUGGUUCCAUCCGAGAAUCACCAUAAUCCCCCUGAGAACACAGACCUCCUUGCUUCAGCACUUCCCCACUGAGGGCUUAUUAGAGAAAAUACACAGAAGCUACACGACCAAAACAAACCCUUUACCUGAGACUAUCAAAGAUGUUACCUACAGCAGCGAUAUACAACGGAGGACCUCAGGGUGUGUGCACCCUUCAUGUAAUGCCACCAUUCAUUAUCUGCGUGUCACUCUGCAUUUGGCUUUGCAGCCACUUGUCUUGCCGAAAAUGAGCAGUAGGAUGAUAGAAGAGUGGAAACAGAAAGCUGCUUUCUUGGGCAUCAAAAGAAAACUGAAUCCUGAAAUUAACACGUAUUUCCUUUCUUAUCUAAGGUAGGGCCAGGACCAACCCUAGGCAGUUUGCCCUGUGGCAAAGUUUAUUUUCUUCCAUUGCUACACCCUCUUGUCCCCACAUUGCAUCUCCUUUUCAAAGUGCCAACCAUCCAUUCUGUAGCACUACACCGACUGACCGGGUGACGCGUUUUCCUGUAACUUGCAUUCACACCUUCUUCCUGCUUUUUUUCCAGCUGAAUAUGUGUAGUCUUCUACCAUUUUCUCAUAAUUAAGUAGGGAAGCUGGACAGCAUAAUGAUUAUGAAUAUGGGCUUUUGAGCUUCAGUGUCUGAGUUCAAAUCCUGUCUCCAGCACUAAGAAGCUGUGUGGCUCCAGGCAAGUAAUUCAGCCCUCAUUUCUGUCUGCUUUCUCAUCAAUAUGAUGAGCUACCUCAAGGGGUGGUCAGAGAGGCAUAUAUAGUAUGUGAUUAAAGAGAAGUUUGUUUCCUUCCCCACACUGUUCUAUAUCUUGUCUCACCCUUGUCUUUCUCUUUUGGUCACCCUCAUCUGCAGCCCUUCUUCCUAAAAUGGGUUGUUAGGAGCACAGUGCACCUGGUCACAGCCCCUGUGAUGGUUUUCUUCUGGACUGUGUACUUCUCUAAUAGCAUAUACAUCUUUAUAUUUAACCCACUUCUUGUAAUAGAAUUUGGGAGAGCUCCUCAGAUGCAGGUUAUUUGUUUCCAAACAUUUUACCAUUCCUUUGCCUUUUUAUCAAACAACACUGAAAUGCCCUUCUUAAGAUAGGAAUAAUAUAGAAGGAAAUGCUUUGGCCUCACCCACAGCUGAAUGAAGGCUGGCUUGUACCCCAAACACAACUUCAGCUUCAUUUCUAAUUGAGAUUUAAAGUCUUUUUACCCCUGUGAUGUUCUCUCUUUUAAGCUCAAUAUUCAGUGGUACGAUAUAUUAGUUGCUGUAAAAUAUCUUUUUCAGGCAGGGAAUGUGAGCUAUUAGCAGGGCUAUAAUAUGCCAGCUAAAAGGAAAAGGGUUAUAGGCGUGGGUGUGGGCAAGAGGUGUUCUAUGCAACCCCACUGGGACAUCGCCACUUUAGAAAACAAUUUUACAGUCAUAUAGUUAAAUUAACUGGUAGUUAGAGGCAAUUAUGUGAUAAAGUAAAAAUAUUUAUGUUCUUUAGAGCUCCAAAACUGUCAUUUGAAGUGUGACAAAUUUUUAAGUAAUUUCACCUGCAACUUUUGAAAGAUUAGUUCUAUGACUAAGGGCAUAAAAUUGAAACAGGUUGCCACUGUAAAAUAAAAUCAAACUUAUCUCCUCCUUGUAAUUUUGCUUGAAUUUAGUGCUCAUGGAAUGUCUCACUGUCAUAGUUUCUGUGCUUCAAGUCUUUAUUUUCUAAACAACUGCAAUUUGAAAUUUAAGACUUUAAAAAGCAAUCCUCCCUUAAGAAGUUCAAAAUACAUGCGUGUACACAUGCAUACACACACUUGUACAGUUCUUGGUGCCCUGCUUUAUCAUGUUUGGGGCAUUUUUUUUAUGGUAAGCACAAGCUCAUACUUUUUCUUAUUUUCAUUAAAAAGUCCAUUGGAAGCCAUAAGCCAUUAAAAAAAAAAAAGAAAAGAAAUCACCUACUAUCAUAUCUUCUACACAGCUAUUUUAUGGUUACUCAUUAUCAUUUUUGUCUCUGCUCAUGUACAUUUACAUUUUUACAUAAUUGCAACUAUAGUGUAUAUACAAUUUUGUGUUUUUCUUCAGUACUUCAUAUUGUGCAUUUUUAGUGUUGUUAGUCUCCGUGACCAUCAUUUUAACAAGCUGCAAAAUAUUAUUUUCAAUGACUACAUCAUAAUUCAUUUUACUAUUCUUCUAUCAUUGGGUGCUUCAGUGGUUUCUAGUAUUUCACUCUUGUAAAUAGUGCUGCAAUGAACAUUUUUAUGCUAUGGCUUUCUCUUUUCUUUUAUUAAAUUUCCUUGGGCUAGAAUCCCACAAGUGGGGUUAGCAGGUUAAAAUACAUGUGCUUUUUACUUUGGUAGCUCUGGAUACCCAAGGUCAAAUUGCUUUUCAAAGUAUUUUAUCAAUUGACAUGACCUCCAGCAAUAUAGUUCAUCUAUACUUUUGUGUAUAAAUUUGAUAGCAACAUGUUUAUUUAUAUGGCUUCACUGAUAUUAUACAUAAUUCUAAAGCAUUUACUGGGUCUCCUAAUCUUUGGCCUUGGUGGAAGGCCUUUUGCUCCUGCAGCUUUCAUGGGUGUCACAGCAUUCAAAUGCAAGUGCAUACAGGGACACACACAUAUAAGCCCCAGAUGUCAGAUGGGUAGUUCAGUAGGAGUAGCGGAGAUCAGUCAGAUAUUUGCCCUUAUGUAUUGGAAGUACAAAGACAUAAAGGAAAAAAAUAGUAUGUGGAGUUCAGUCUUCAGGCUUUCUCACCUUGCUCUCACCUCUUCUUUCCACCACUUAACUGCCUCAGUCUUAAACUCCAGCCCCUGCCGAGGCUGUGCUCUCUUUCAUUCCUGGCAGGACACCAGCCUUUGUGUAUUGCUGUUGGUCUAUCUGGCCUUUCACCAUAGUCUACCUGCCUCUGAAUGUCACCAUGAGAAAAUGUGUAUAUUCAAUUCAUCCCUUCCCCCAACCUCAAACUGCUCCCCGUCAUGUAGACAAAGGGCUGCCCACAGAGCUGUGCGUGGAGUAGGCCCACCGAGUGCAAAAUAGCACAGAGGAUAAACAUGUUCCUAGCUGACCAAGCAAUGGAUAAGCUUGCUAAUCUCCCACCAAUACAGUUCAUGAGUUGUAGUCAUCUAAUCAUAGGAGUCUGGAUCAGAGCCAGUAACUCAUUUCACAUGGGUCACUCAGGAGCCCAAGAUAGAAAUAAGUUUAAAUCAAUGCAAUCAAAAGGUGAAAACCUCCAUAUAACUGGAGGUGUAAGGAGCAGAGCUUAUUGGCAUCUUGAAUUGUUGUAGCUCUCAUAAAAAGUUAUAGCUUUAACCUUUCAUAUAUGAUGGUUCUAGUCUAAUUUUUAUUACAAUAUUAUGGAUAAUGUAUGUCUAUUAGAGAAAAUGUGUGCUUUUGAAAAUGAUAAUGCCAUAUUUACUUUUACAUUUUCUUGCUCAUAGAAUUUGGCCCCCAUUUCGGAAAAUUCCUGCUUGGGACAGCAAUGACAAAGGUCGGUUUUUCAGAGCUUAUAGGGUAUCAGGUUCCCAGCCAUAAGAGGUUGAAAUAAUAAUAAAGGCACCAUGUACCUCUGGAGUAGUUCUUGCAAAUGACCUGAGGGUUACCUUGAGCCUGAAAAAGGAACUGCUCUAUACCUUUGUUAAGUAUGAUGCUCACCUGGCCAUUGUAGCUUAGAACUGGGCCCAUAUGGAUGGGUGGGUGGGUUAAGCUGCUGGACCAGUCCAUCAGUGAAGAUGAUUAAAUCACAGAAAUUCUCACACUCCCAGAUUCUUUUGCUGAAGAUUGGUUCUCACAUUAGGAACACAUUCUGUAUUCUAUUAAAAAGGUGCUGCUUCUAUAAAGAUCUACAUACAAAAUUAACUGCAAGCAGGAGCAAAUAGCACUGAGCUAUUUGUCACUUAAUGGAAAGAAGUGAGGAAGUAC
Molecule: long non-coding RNA, 4413 nt
Filed under: Canis lupus familiaris (dog)
Lineage: Eukaryota; Metazoa; Chordata; Mammalia; Carnivora; Canidae
Description: lncRNA (ENSCAFG00845030855.1)
Source: RNAcentral